Gasterosteus aculeatus aculeatus (three-spined stickleback) is the source of this 1368-nucleotide long non-coding RNA. NCBI's taxonomy places the organism in Eukaryota, Metazoa, Chordata, Actinopteri, Perciformes, Gasterosteidae. The record is from Ensembl.
UAACGACACAGCUUUACCAACUGUAAUGAAGAUCUGCUUGGUCGUAUUAAACCGCACCAAUCUCUUAACCAGGAAGAGCGGGAGCAGUUAUGGUGAGGAUGAGCGUAGCGACACGUCGCAGCGUGCACUCGUACAGAUCUGUUCGUCAUCCUUUGUUUUGCUCUGAGGGGGAAGAUGGUCUGCAGGAAUGGUGGUAAUCAGGUAGCCGGGCUGCUGCUCUCUUUAUGGUGCAACAAAGGUAGCCUCGCACUCUUACUGUCUCACUCCCUGUUGUUAUGUGCUCUUCCCUCUGUGUGGUGCUUUUUUUGUAACGAUGUUAUGUGUGUACAGAAAAUGCCUUAUUGGUGUGAACGCUGCUUUGAGUGUUAACUAUAUGCGUGUGUGUUUUUUUUGUUAUUCACAUUUUUUGUUCUUAAAGACAGGGGGACUCCCACUGUCAUUGGUUUGUAUCAUGUGCCUUCAUUGCAUGCCGGUGUGGGAUGAGCAUGCAAUGUGUGAAAGAACCGCAUUGAACCCACAGGGAGGACAGAUCACAGGCACGCGGUGAAUGCCAAGAGAGAAGCCACAGUCUUCGCUUACCCGAGAAAACCAGCAAAACAGCCGCCACGGGACAAGAGACGGGCUGUGACAACUACACGGAUGCUGCAAUUCCACGAGAUUAACAAGCAGCGACAUUAACAGUCACACAGACGCCGGGUGGGCGGAGGGGGGGGGCAAAGAGGUUAAAGAGCCGUGACCUCGAGGCACGUCAAUAGAUCGGUUAAUGCAAACCAGAGGAGAAAAAACAGAACCUGCAGAGGGAAAUGCACCAGAGUCAGCGGGCACCGGUUCAUAGUAAUAUACUGGUUUCCAUAAUGACAGAACAGCCUUCCGGUGUCGGGUCCUGUGGCCAAAUGGACAGAGGGAUCGCACCGGGGGAUUUGCCAUGUGGUGACAGAGGGCCGCUUCAAAGGUCUCUUCAUGCAUGAGAGUACACUUGCCCCGUUUUAAGGGGAAGAGGGGAAAAACAGGGGGAUUGCUAUAAUGGCACGAUGAGCUGUUGUAAGAUAAUUAUUUUCAUCAUGAAGGGGUUACUUUCAACAUCGUUCUCAUGCAGGAUACUUUACAAUAUUCUAUGCCCUUACAUAGUCUGAAAGUAACGCUCUGCAGUUUAUUUUUAAAUCAUGAAUUAAAUUAGGUUACAUUUCGUUAUUCCUGCCUGUGGGUUACAAUAUCAUGCCUUUGUUUGUAUUUAUACUCUGCAAAACAUAAAUAAAUAAAGAAGUAAUAUCACAGAUUACAUUUCUAUUUGUAUUUUUUUUUGUCUCUUUUUUGAGUAAAAAGGCCCAAAGCACUUCAUGUGCUUUAAAUAAUGAGCUUCAUUUCUAG